Molecule: ribosomal RNA, 450 nt
Filed under: uncultured Glomeromycotina
Lineage: Eukaryota; Fungi; Glomeromycota
Description: SSU rRNA
Rfam family: Eukaryotic small subunit ribosomal RNA
Source: RNAcentral
AGCAGCCGCGGUAAUUCCAGCUCCAAUAGCGUAUAUUAAAGUUGUUGCAGUUAAAAAGCUCGUAGUUGAAUUUCGGGAUCAAUCUGUUGGUCGUGCCUUUGGUACGUACUAGCUUAUUGAUUUCUCCCUUCUGACGAACCAUGAUGUCAUUAAUUUGGUGUCAUGGGGAAUCAGGACUGUUACUUUGAAAAAAUUAGAGUGUUUAAAGCAGGCUCACGCUUGAAUACAUUAGCAUGGAAUAACGGAAUAGGAUGUUUGAUUCUAUUUUGUUGGUUUCUAGGAUCGACGUAAUGAUUAAUAGGGAUAGUUGGGGGCAUUAGUAUUCAAUUGUCAGAGGUGAAAUUCUUGGAUUUAUUGAAGACUAACUACUGCGAAAGCAUUUGCCAAGGAUGUUUUCAUUAAUCAAGAACGAAAGUUAGGGGAUCGAAGACGAUCAGAUACCGUCGUAGU